AUACGUAGGUCCCGAACGUUGCGCGAAAUUACUGGGCGUAAAGGGUCCGUAGGCGGUCUGGUAAGUGGAAGGUGAAAGCCUGGGGCUCAACUCCAGAAUUGCCUUCCAAACUGCCGGACUUGAGGCAGGGAGAGGUCGGCGGAAUUCCCGGUGUAGUGGUGAAAUGCGUAGAUAUCAGGAGGAACACCAGUGGCGAAGGCGGCCGACUGGAACUGUCCUGACGCUGAGGGACGAAAGCCAGGGGAGCGAACCGGAUUAGAAACCCUAGUAGUCC
Molecule: ribosomal RNA, 274 nt
Filed under: uncultured bacterium
Lineage: Bacteria
Description: partial 16S ribosomal RNA
Rfam family: Bacterial small subunit ribosomal RNA
Source: RNAcentral